Molecule: long non-coding RNA, 5243 nt
Organism: Herpailurus yagouaroundi (jaguarundi)
Lineage: Eukaryota; Metazoa; Chordata; Mammalia; Carnivora; Felidae
Exons: 6
Source: RefSeq, a predicted model, not a curated record
CACCCCGAUGGCAUUUCCUCUUAAGCUGUCAGGAAAGAUACGAAGCCUAAAGCACAGUGACAGCUGUGGGGUGUAAACAGUACCUCCUCAGACGAGCAUGGGCCGCUGGGUAGAGGCAGCAGGGACGUAGCAACCACGGGGGGCGGUUCCUCCUUCCUGACUCCCCAGCCCAGAACAGAGAUCGGCUCUGGGGAGCAGGACGCACCAGGAGGGGUGAAGCUGGCCCAACCUGGGUGGUUCGUUGGAGCCCUCGCCCUCCAUCCCAAAGGAAGGAGAGUGGGGCUGAGGUGAGAGAGGAGACACUUCCUCCAGCGGUCCCCACAUGCUCAGCAUCACAGGACCACAAGAGCAGGAAUGACUGAGACAUGCCUGAGACCCCCACUGAGCUUAAGUCGCCCUUGCCCCUGCCCCCGCCCCCUCCCGGGGUUUGGAUCUACUCCUAGACCAAGGUCAGUGGCCAAGGACCCCUACAGAGGACCUCAGGAUGUGCGCAGCCUGGGCAAGACCGAGGAGAGCAGGAGCCACAGAGGUGACUCCCAGGGAAGAGCUUGGUUCGUUUGGGUAAGAGACAGCAACCAGAGACUGGAAUACUCACUCGAGAAUCUCCAAGGUCCUGUUCACAGCCAGGGCAUCCCCUAGCGCCUGGGCCCCCCGGGCACCAAUGGAGGCCACCUGCAGACUAUGCAGAAGAGAAGGGGUCAGUGCGGACAGGCUGGGGCGCUCCGGCCUGCACCCUGCCUGGCCCAGCUUCCAUGCGUCCUUGUCCUUCCUUCUCCACCCCUGGACUGAGGGCUGCAAGUGACAACAUAGUGCUGAAAACUGUUGGCCUGUGAUCCGUCCAGAGAACGCCGCGCCUCCGGCCUCCCCUGAUGCCGAGGACAGAGAUCGGGAUGCUACCGAUACGGGAAGCAGAGGUGGUUCCCUGGAGGGUUUGAGGAAAAACACUCCCUGAACCCCUACUUCUUACUUUGUCCCAAUUGCUAACAUUAGGAAAAUUUAACACCUUCUUGGCUGGGAAGCAACACUGAUGUUUGGUAUGAAAGCAGGGCUCAGGGCUGGCUGCCUGGGCGGCCGUGCACGUCAACACUUACUAGAGAGCGGUGAGGGCCGUGUUGGCCUUUAGUGCGCUGGCCAGUGCGGAGGCGCCCUCGUCCCCGAUGGCGUUCUCCUGCAAACUGAACACAGAGCGUGACCCCCGGGCUCACAGGGCACGGGGCUAGCGGCACUCCAUCAUGACGUCCUGAGCUUGGACCUUCUAGUUUUCAUUCAUACUGCGCACACCACAGACUAGACUCCCAGGGUUGCCGAGGGGAUAACCGACCCCGCGGCCUCCUAAUUAACAUGCAGAGGGCUCUGGGGUCUCUAUGAACCUGGAUCAUCAGAAGCAAACAAGAAAAGGGACAAGUGGAAAUACUCUCAAGGGUGAGGACAAAAAAAUGGGUGUGCCAGCCAGAGAAUUCAGUUGAAGCCCUUAGUCCCUGGCCAUUCUUGCUCGUCAGGGUUUUACAUCUUUUUUUUUUUUUUCCUUCCCUUCCACAUUGGAGUAAAGUCAGUUCCUAGCGCAGUAAAUGAUGGAGAGUUUACCUCGGGUGGGCAUUGGGGUGUUGAAGGGAGCAGUUUGCAUUCGCGAUUUUAGCAGACGUGUUAGUGUGUGUGGUGCCCUGGCCUGAUCCUGUCUCAGGUGGGCGGUUGUGACUGAACGAGCCGGCACCGUGGGCCACGUGCUGGGGGGACGGAGGAGCCCGUGGGGUCUCCUGCCCCCGUGUGGUCACGGAGGCCACCGGGAGAAAUAGGUCUGAACUGAAACCUGCAGGAUGAGAGUUGGGGGAGGGGGCCUGGCACAUCCACGGAACCCAAAGAAAUGGCAUCAAGUGGCUGGCGUGUGAAAUGACAGAAGCAGGCCUUUGGGGCCUUUGUUAGAAGCCACACCGAGGGGUGGGUUUCACUCUGCAGGCACUGGGCAGCCAUUGGAGCAUCUCGGGACGGGGACAGAUACACAUUUUGGAAAGAUGUUUGGCCAGCAGUGUGAGCGGAUGGACUGGAUGUGGAGGCUGCUACGGGGACGCAGGGUGAGUGGAGCUGGUGGCCUGACGGUGGCCGCGAGGGUAGAGGGAGAUGGUGGGGCCUUGGGAGGAGAGUCGCAAGUGGGAAGCGAGAACAGAGACGAUGUUUCUAGCUUGCAGGCCGGGUUGGCCGGGCCCGUUCGUGAGGCGGAGCUGAGAACAGACUCGUGGGGAGGCAGCGUGGGCAGUGAUUACGUGGGUCUGGGGCUCAGGAGAGAGGGGUCUAGAUGCGGGGGCACCGGGACUUUGAAGUCCAGGAGUGUGCGAGAGGACAGCUUCUGGAAUAGAGAGCUCGUUCGAGACAAGAUGGCCUAGAACAGAUCCCUGAGGAGCCCCAGGAUGUCAGUGCGACAGAAGAACCAGCCAGAAAUGGGCUAUCCUGGAUGCCAAGGGAGAAGCCAUGGGCGUGGUCCAAAGCAGGCGAGACUCAGACGGUUAGAGACAGGGUUCCCAUUCAACUCCGCGGCUCCACUGGCUCAUGUGCCCAAGAGAAAUGAAAGCGUAUGUCCAGGCAGAAGCUUGUACACGAACGUUCACAGCAGCGUUAUGAGAGCCAAACUGUCCAAACCACCCAGAUGUUCCUCGACAGAUGAGGGGAUAAAUGGCAUGUCAAUCUGCACAGCGGAAUAGGAUUCAGCCACAGAAAGGAAUGAAGCCCUGAUUCCUGCUGCAACCUGGGUGAACCUUGGAAACCUGAUACCGAACGAAAGACCUUGGUGGCAAGAGGUCACACGCCGUUCAGUCCCACGUACGUGAAGUGUCCAGUACAGGUGGUGAGAAUAUUGUGGAACUACAUAGAGGUGAUGAAGGAACAACUGUGAACGUACUAAGUGACACUGAAAUGUAUACUCUAAAGUGGUGAAUUUCACCCCAAUAAAAAUACAUAAAUGAAGAAACAGAUGACAGUACACACUCAACUAAGGAUGGGUACAACCACAUAUGACAACUCCUAAAAGGAGCACAGCAAACCAUAGGAACAUUCUAGAGAAUGGCACUUUCAGCGUCCUGGAAAACACCUCAGGAAAACAUCCUGACACCAUGGCCUUGGAUUUCCCAUUCGAUAGAAGACAAGAGGUGUUCCUCAUAGAUUAUUUUGCUUUUCCACCUCUAUACAACCGCAUCCUCCUUUUCCUCUAUCCCUGAAUUAGGCUGUACACACAAGGACAAUGAGCACAGAAGAACUGAAACCUGAAACUUGUAUAGAUACGAGAUCAUGUGGCAUCCACCUAGACAGGAGCCAGUAUAGCAUGCCUGCCAUUUUGAAUCAUCUCCCGCUCCAUGGUUGGUACCUGGGAGAGGGUUUUGUGGGCCCUCUGCUGGUUAUAUCGGGAUGUGGAGCAGAUGGCGCGUACCUCAAAAAGGCCAGAGUGCGGUUAAUCUUCAGAGCAUCUGCCAGAGCCUUGGCCCCUUGAGGUCCGAUGGAGUUACUGCGGAGGCUGGCGGGAAGAAGAGAGAGAAAGAACUGUUUUCUUUUAUCCAAUUCCCAGGGAGGAAAGAAAGAAGUUACACUGACCUUUAAAUCUAUGCUCUUUGAAAAUAACGGGGUUUAAGAUUUCAUGUUUUGUGGAGAUCCUUAUUCAGGUGAACAAGCUUGUGAUCCAAACCUCCCGGUUUCACCAGCAUCAUGAGGGCCUGGACGCAGGUGGAGAUGACGUGAGCCCUGGAGCAGAAUCACCCAGGCCAGGAAAGCCUCUGAGCCAAGUAAGAGGGAUUGCAUUUCUAUCUCUGGCUGCUAGCCCAAGGGGAUCCUGCUAAUAGCCGGCCCUCAUCCAGUGCUUCCUCUGUGCCUGGCCCGUCCUCACCGCUUGCCUUGAGUUAACCCACUGAAGCUGCUUCAACAACCGGAAGGGGGAAUGUGCAGGAAAGGGUUAACCGUGCCCCCAGUUCCGGAGAGGUGACCUCUGAACGCUUGGAAUGUCCUGCCUGAUAAGUCUGCCUGUGUUUACCUGGGGCCCUUGGGCCGUGCAGUAGCAGCCUGACGUCCCUACCUCCGGAGGGGCUUCCCAUGACCCACCUCCAGUAAAAUGUCUGGACCCAAGCCUGGGUGCGCCUCCCUGGUUGGAACGCUUCAAGUGUGCUGUUGCGCGUGGUGGCUGGGGGAGGCGGGCCCUGUCUGCACCACCACAGCGGAAGGACAACUGAAAGCUUGCCCCUGUCUCUCGGGCCCGCCUCAUGCACCCUUCCCUCUGCACAUUUAAAUCCGUAUCCUUUUGAUGUCCUGAGCCACAAGUGCAGGUACAACAGCUCUUCUGGGUUCUGUGAGUCCUUCUAGUGAAUCAUUAAACCUUUGGGGGGGUCCCGGAGACCCGAGACUCACAGAUACGUUUUAACCCCAUGUUUACACUCCUUUGGCACAGAGUUGACUGUACAGGGUCACACAGAGCCCACCGCUCGCCACUGUCUUCCGUGACUUCUUUUGGCUCCUGACUCACUCCGUGUUUGUGUUUGUUUUCUCAGAGAUUAUUCCUGAACCCAGAGGGAGGCUUAAGUGAGGACGAAGAAUUCCUCUCUGGAUCCUGUUCUCCAGACUCCUCUCCCUAUUUCUAACCACCCCCAGGUCACAAGCCCACUCCUCAGUGUUACUGAGACUUGGAAAUGUGAUCACAGGAGAUCUCACAAGCGCGAAACUCUAUUUUGCCGUCAGCACACAGACUUGUGUCUCAUCACACCAUUAAAGAGUCAAUGUUUAAAUUUUAUUUUUUUGUACUCGUUUAAAUAAAAGUUCAAAUUUAAAUCCAAAUUUUAAAUUAAAAAAAUUCUAAUUUAAUUUCUAGAGCCAAUCCUGUGCCUGUAAUACUGUUUUGAGGGCAAACAUUGAGAGGAGCUUAGAGAACAUCGUGCCUCGCAGUACUUCGGAACGUUGAGUAUCUGCGGAAAUGCUCCCAUGUCCACCAGAGCACCUGACCCUCACCAUAUCCCUUCCCUCUUCUUACAGGUGAGGGACCUGAGCCUCUGGAACUUUCCGGAAGGGGCAGAAACAAGCAGCCACGUGUUUCCAAGGCACCUCUCCUUGCAAGCGCCUCUGGCCGAUUGAGCAGAGAGGAGGACGGGAAAAUAGCCCUGGACCCCGUGCGACAGGUCCACGAGGGCUUUCACUUGCCCAGCCGGGGAGCCGGGGCCUCGGCCCUGGCCUGCCUCCCCGCCGGUCCGCACCUCCUGCUUCCUCAUGGGGUCCGCGAU